CUGCCCUGCACUUUGGGAUAAGCCUGGGAAACUGGGUCUAAUACCGAAUAUGACUCCCGACUGCAUGGUCUGGGGUGGAAAGCUUUUGCGGUGUGGGAUGGGCCCGCGGCCUAUCAGCUUGUUGGUGGGGUGAUGGCCUACCAAGGCGACGACGGGUAGCCGGCCUGAGAGGGUGUCCGGCCACACUGGGACUGAGAUACGGCCCAGACUCCUACGGGAGGCAGCAGUGGGGAAUAUUGCACAAUGGGCGCAAGCCUGAUGCAGCGACGCCGCGUGAGGGAUGACGGCCUUCGGGUUGUAAACCUCUUUCGCCAGGGACGAAGCGCAAGUGACGGUACCUGGAGAAGAAGCACCGGCCAACUACGUGCCAGCAGCCGCGGUAAUACGUAGGGUGCGAGCGUUGUCCGGAAUUACUGGGCGUAAAGAGCUCGUAGGUGGUUUGUCGCGUUGUUCGUGAAAACUCACAGCUUAACUGUGGGCGUGCGGGCGAUACGGGCAGACUGGAGUACUGCAGGGGAGACUGGAAUUCCUGGUGUAGCGGUGGAAUGCGCAGAUAUCAGGAGGAACACCGGUGGCGAAGGCGGGUCUCUGGGCAGUAACUGACGCUGAGGAGCGAAAGCGUGGGGAGCGAACAGGAUUAGAUACCCUGGUAGUCCACGCCGUAAACGGUGGGUACUAGGUGUGGGUUUCCUUCCUUGGGAUCCGUGCCGUAGCUAACGCAUUAAGUACCCCGCCUGGGGAGUACGGCCGCAAGGCUAAAACUCAAAGGAAUUGACGGGGGCCC
RNAcentral lists this ribosomal RNA (784 nucleotides) under Mycolicibacterium poriferae. RNAcentral describes it as "bacterial SSU rRNA". It matches the Rfam family "Bacterial small subunit ribosomal RNA", at positions 126 to 922 of the family's 1533-position model. The record is from RNAcentral. Lineage: Bacteria; Bacillati; Actinomycetota; Actinomycetes; Mycobacteriales; Mycobacteriaceae.